AUGGUCGUUUUUGUGACACCACAUCAGACUCUGCUCCUUUGUGACAUGCUGGGCAAGUCUUCAGAGUGUCGCGCACAGAAAAAGAACGAUUUAAAAGUAGGUGAUAUUGAGAAGGGCAAGAAGAUUUUUGUUCAGAAGUGUGCCCAGUGCCAUACUGUGGAAAAGGGAGGGAAGCACAAGACUGGGCCAAACCUCCAUGGUCUGUUUGGACGGAAGACAGGUCAGGCUGCUGGAUUCUCUUACACAGAUGCCAACAAAAACAAAGGUAUCACCUGGGGAGAGGAGACGCUGAUGGAGUACUUGGAGAAUCCCAAGAAGUACAUCCCUGGAACCAAGAUGAUCUUUGCUGGCAUUAAGAAGAAGGGAGAGAGGGAGGACUUGAUAGCUUACCUCAAAAAAGCUACCAAUGAGUAAUAGUUGGUCACUGCCUUAUUUAUUAUGAAACAGAAGUGUCUCAUGACUUUUUAUGUGUACCAUAUUUAAACUGAUCUCAUACACUA
Molecule: RNA transcript, 500 nt
Organism: Capra hircus (goat)
Lineage: Eukaryota; Metazoa; Chordata; Mammalia; Artiodactyla; Bovidae
Gene name: cytochrome c pseudogene
Exons: 2
Source: RefSeq, a predicted model, not a curated record